RNAcentral lists this ribosomal RNA (249 nucleotides) under uncultured bacterium. RNAcentral's name for it is "partial 16S ribosomal RNA". It matches the Rfam family "Bacterial small subunit ribosomal RNA", at positions 524 to 774 of the family's 1533-position model. The record is from RNAcentral.
UACGGGGGAACGAGCGUUGUUCGGAUUACUGGGCGUAAAGGGCACGCAGGCGGGAAAGCAAGUCAGGUGUGAAAUCUCUCAGCUUAACUGGGAGCCUGCAUUUGAUACUGCUUUUCUUGAGUACGAGAGAGGAUGGCGGAAUUCUUGGUGUAGCGGUGAAAUGCGUAGACAUCAAGAAGAACACCGGUGGCGAAGGCGGCCAUCUGGCUCGAUACUGACGCUCAGGUGCGAAGUCGGGGGGAGCAAACA